UACGAGGGGGGCAAGCGUUGUUCGGAAUUAUUGGGCGUAAAGGGCGCGUAGGCGGUUUGACAAGUCUGAUGUGAAAUCUCUGGGCUUAACCCAGAGGCUGCUUCCGAAACUGCUGUGCUUGAGUGUGGGAGAGGCGCGUGGAAUUGCAGGUGUAGCGGUGAAAUGCGUAGAUAUCUGCAGGAACACCCGUGGCGAAAGCGGCGCGCUGGACCACUACUGACGCUGAGGAACGAAAGCUAGGGGAGCAAACAGG
RNAcentral lists this ribosomal RNA (253 nucleotides) under uncultured bacterium. RNAcentral's name for it is "partial 16S ribosomal RNA". It matches the Rfam family "Bacterial small subunit ribosomal RNA", at positions 524 to 776 of the family's 1533-position model. The record is from RNAcentral.